GCGGUAGUAGUUUAAUGGUAGAAUACGGGACUGUGGAUCCUGUGGAGCGAGUUCGAUUCUCGCCUAUCGCC
Molecule: transfer RNA, 71 nt
Filed under: Candidatus Woesearchaeota archaeon
Lineage: Archaea; Nanobdellati; Candidatus Woesearchaeota
Description: tRNA-His
Rfam family: tRNA
About the family: Transfer RNA (tRNA) molecules are approximately 80 nucleotides in length. Their secondary structure includes four short double-helical elements and three loops (D, anti-codon, and T loops).
Source: RNAcentral